RNAcentral lists this ribosomal RNA (460 nucleotides) under uncultured bacterium. RNAcentral describes it as "partial 16S ribosomal RNA". It matches the Rfam family "Bacterial small subunit ribosomal RNA", at positions 338 to 795 of the family's 1533-position model. The record is from RNAcentral.
CCUACGGGAGGCAGCAGUGAGGAAUAUUGGUCAAUGGACGAGAGUCUGAACCAGCCAAGUAGCGUGAAGGAUGACUGCCCUAUGGGUUGUAAACUUCUUUUAUAUGGGAAUAAAAUGUUCCACGUGUGGGAUUUUGUAUGUACCAUAUGAAUAAGGAUCGGCUAACUCCGUGCCAGCAGCCGCGGUAAGACGGAGGAGCCGAGCUUUAUCCGGAUUUAUUGGGUUUAAUGGGAGCGUAGGUGGAUUGUUAAGUCAGUUGUGAAAGUUUGCGGCGCAAACGUAAAAUUGCAGUUGAAACUGGCAGUCUGGAGUACAGGAGAGGUGGGCGGAAUGCGUGGUGUAGCGGUGAAAUGCUUAGAUAGCACGAAGAACUACGAUUGCGAAGGCAGUUCACUGGACUGCAACUGACACUGAGGCUCGAAAGUGUGGGUAACAAACAGGAUUAGAUACCCCUGUAGUC